Molecule: ribosomal RNA, 484 nt
Filed under: uncultured bacterium
Lineage: Bacteria
Description: partial 16S ribosomal RNA
Rfam family: Bacterial small subunit ribosomal RNA
Source: RNAcentral
AUUGAACGCUGGCGGCAGGCCUAACACAUGCAAGUCGAGCGGAUGAAGGGAGCUUGCUUCUGGAUUCAGCGGCGGACGGGUGAGUAAUGCCUAGGAAUCUGCCUGGUAGCGGGGGAUAACGUGCGGAAACGGGCGCUAAUACCGCAUACGUCCCGAGGGAGAAAGGGGGGGAUCUUCGGACCUUACGCUAUCAGAUGAGCCUAGGUCGGAUUAGCUAGUUGGUGGGGUAAAGGCCUACCAAGGCGACGAUCCGUAACUGGUCUGAGAGGAUGAUCAGUCACACUGGAACUGAGACACGGUCCAGACUCCUACGGGAGGCAGCAGUGGGGAAUAUUGGACAAUGGGCGAAAGCCUGAUCCAGCCAUGCCGCGUGUGUGAAGAAGGUCUUCGGAUUGUAAAGCACUUUAAGUUGGGAAGAAAAGCAGUAAGUUAAUACCUUGCUGUUUUGACGUUACCAAAAGAAUAAGCACCGGCUAACUUCGUG